AGGUGUAAUUUAGUUCUAAAUGGAGAUCAGUAUUACUGUGAAUUGAUCUUGAGGUCAUUAAGGUCUUGAUUGAAAACAGGAUUAGAUACCCUGGUAUCCUUGAUUUAAAUUCUUCAAACUAAAGUAGUAACCAGUUAUUAUCUUGAAACUUAAAGGAUUUGGCGGUGUCUUAGUCUAGUUAGAGGAACCUGUUCUGUGAUCGAUGCGCCACGAAGUAUCUCACUUCAUCUUGUAAGGUUUAACAGCCUGUAUACCGCCAUUAUCAGGCAAUCUCAAUAGAGAUGUGUUUAAAUAAAUAAAAAAUUUAGAAAAUUAGGUCAAGGUGCAGCUUAUGAUGAAGGUUGAAAUGGGUUACAAUUUAACAUUGGAAAAACGGAUUAGGACUUGAAAUAGUUUUAUGAAGGUGGAUUUAAAAGUAAGGUUUGUUUAACAUGCAAAUCUGAUUAUCAGCUCUAAGGCGCGUA
RNAcentral lists this ribosomal RNA (464 nucleotides) under Lysmata amboinensis (scarlet cleaner shrimp). RNAcentral's name for it is "12S ribosomal RNA". Lineage: Eukaryota; Metazoa; Arthropoda; Malacostraca; Decapoda; Hippolytidae. The record is from RNAcentral.